Molecule: long non-coding RNA, 1747 nt
Filed under: Agrilus planipennis (emerald ash borer)
Lineage: Eukaryota; Metazoa; Arthropoda; Insecta; Coleoptera; Buprestidae
Description: uncharacterized LOC108742776
Source: RNAcentral
GAGCAGUGCAAAUGUAGUGGAUAAAAUGGUCAAUUUUUCCGUGCAGUACUGUACGGAUUAUACGCUCCUCACCGAUUAAGAGUUUAGCCGAGAGAUUGUCUCUUUCAUUUUCUGGCCUAGUGCUGUUCUUUUCUACUUUGCGCCGGUCAAACUGAAGGUCACAUCGCUACAGAAAGUAAACGAAGUAUAAGUAGUUUUCUUAAAAUUUGUAUUCUUUUGGUACGGUAACAUCGAGACGUUAAAUAUUAAAUUAACAAUAUUUUUCCGGUUAGUAAUAGUUCAGUUCUGCGCUUUUUUUGUGUACUUAAUACACAGGUAUUAUGAAGAACGUCAUGAUACCGACCCCUACAGGUCAUUUUCACCUCAAACAUACUAUCGUGUUUCAAACAUAGACUGUUGUGGUCUGUUGAUUUCCAAAAUAAUGAUUUUUUGGCUAAUAUUUAGGAUGACUUGUUUGACGAGACUUGAACAUUGACGAACCUUUGGUGUAAAUUAAAAUGAAUGGUUUGGUUAGCGCGUUUUAAUGAAUUAGGGAGCCGGACUAUAGUUACAAAUAUAAAAAAUGACGAAGAUCAGGAGGCACUACAUGCAGAAAUUGAAGAAGUGGUAAGUUUAGUGAUAGAGUAGGAAAACCUCAUAAUUGUAGGAGACUUCAACAAAGCGAAAUUAGGAAACCCUAAUUUCGAAAUUAGGGCCCCACAAAUUCACAAUCCGUCCCUGAUUUUUAAGAUUUUCACACACUUUUAUUUCAAAAGUAACAAUUCUUCAAAGAGACAGUAACUAAUUAUUAUUUCAAAUGAAAAAUAUCAAUUCAAUGUAAUAAAGGUAUAUUAGUCUUUCAUCAUUAAAGAAAUAUUUUUUGCAAGUAUUUUAUCUUUUAUUAAAACUCGUAAUUUUGAGUGAAUGUUUUUGAAAUGCGACCAAAUAGGUAUAAGAAAACGUCAAAAAUCAAAAGAUUAAAAUAGUGCUAGUCUACACCUUAACGGAGCGUUUCCAUGAGAUCCUCUGCGUUGCAGUAGUAGUGGUCUUAGAGGUUCUUACAAAUAUUUCAUACCAAUCUGCAUUUCCAGUAUUCAGCUAUGUUCAUUCUGCUUUGUUUUUAUUUAUCGUUAUUGUUACUGCUAUUUUUGUUAUCGUCUGUACGGUUUUUCGUCGAUUUAUUGAAAUUUGGAAAUGUCACACUUAAAUAAGUAAGCCCACGAAAUCAUUUUGAAGGUGAUAAAUUAUUUUACCUAAGAAAAGAAACUUUUACUCCCCGUUACUUGUGUUCAAGACAGUGUUGCAGCAACUACCGGUAUUUCUGUGAGAACAGUCAAAAAAAUAAUGACCAAACAAAAUCAGGGAAAUAUAAAAAAGGAAAUCCGAGUUCGAAUGAAGAAAAGAACAGUACAUAUGAAAGAAAUUUUAAAGCAUGAUGUGAGAGACGUAAUUUAUCAAAUGUACGAAAAGGAAUUUGUAACUUUGAAAAAGUUACAACUAAAAUUAGAAAAAACGUCUUUAGAGGCAUCAACUGGAUCUUUAACUGUUCUUCCGAAAGUAAUAGAGUUCAAAUUAAAAAACAAAACUGUAACAGAUGCGCUCUAUGUGAAAUGAAGGACGUCCGAAUGAAAACAGGGCUUUCAUUAAGGAAGUUCGUGGACAAUAAAACCUCGUUGAAUUCGAAAAAGUGCGUGUUCUUGGACGAAACAUGGAUAUUUUCUAGAGGUGGCAACAAACACACAUGGCAAAAGGAUGGUAUAAAAAGUGU